Molecule: long non-coding RNA, 262 nt
Filed under: Elaeis guineensis (African oil palm)
Lineage: Eukaryota; Viridiplantae; Streptophyta; Magnoliopsida; Arecales; Arecaceae
Description: long non-coding RNA (EGUI_LNC053032)
Source: RNAcentral
UGGGUGGAGGAAGACUUGCAAUUAGAUCUACUUUUACUUUAUCCACUUCAAUUUUUUUUUUCGAAACUACAUGGCCAAGAACUAUCCUUUUUCUAACCAUGAAUUGAUAUUUUUUUCAAUUGAGAACUAAGUGCUUCUCCCUAUAUCCUUUUAGGACUAAUCUUAGAUGAUCUAAGCAUUCGAAGAAGGUAGGGCCAAAGAUAGAAAAGUCAUCCACAAAAAUUUUUAGAAAUUAUUCAACCAUAUCAGAAAAAAUGCUGAU